RNAcentral lists this small nucleolar RNA (210 nucleotides) under Zostera marina. Its description in RNAcentral is "Plant small nucleolar RNA U3". It matches the Rfam family "Plant small nucleolar RNA U3". Rfam says of the family: Small nucleolar RNAs (snoRNAs) are involved in the processing and modification of rRNA in the nucleolus. The record is from Rfam by way of RNAcentral. Lineage: Eukaryota; Viridiplantae; Streptophyta; Magnoliopsida; Alismatales; Zosteraceae.
ACGACCUUACUUGAACAGGAUCUGUUCUAUAGGAUCGUACUACUAUUCCCUUUAGUAAUAAAGAGAUUAGUCAACAAGUCUGGUGGAUGAUAAAUAACUUCAUAAUCAGAGUGUGAUUAACGGAUUAAAUGAUUUACAAUUAAAUCUGUAGAUGAUCGUUCUCAGAUUGGUUUACCAUUAUGAGAUGAUUAUGAGGUUCUCUGACAGACU